UACGUAGGGUGCAAGCGUUGUCCGGAAUUAUUGGGCGUAAAGAGCGUGUAGGCGGCCCGAUAAGUCCGCUGUGAAAGUCCAGGGCUCAACCCUGGAAUGCCGGUGGAUACUGUCGGGCUCGAAUCCGGAAGAGGUGAGUGGAAUCCCUGGUGUAGCGGUGAAAUGCGCAGAUAUCAGGAGGAACACCAAUGGCGAAGGCAGCUCACUGGGACGGUAUUGACGCUGAGACGCGAAAGCGUGGGGAGCAAACAGG
RNAcentral lists this ribosomal RNA (253 nucleotides) under uncultured bacterium. RNAcentral's name for it is "partial 16S ribosomal RNA". It matches the Rfam family "Bacterial small subunit ribosomal RNA", at positions 524 to 776 of the family's 1533-position model. The record is from RNAcentral.